UUCUUUUAGAAAAAAAUAAAAGUAUAUUCUGCUCAAUGAUUUAUUAAAUAGCUGCAUAUAUUGUACUAAGGUAGCAUAAUCAAUAGUCUAUUAAUUGUAGACUUGUAUGAAAGAAUGAAUAAUUAGGAACUUUAUUUAUAAUAAUGGUUGAAUUUUGAAUUUUAGUAAAAAUACUGAAAUAUUUUAUAGGGACAAGAAGACCCUAUAAGAGCUUUAGAUAUAUUAUUAUGAUAUAAUAAUAACAUAUUUUUGAUUGGGGCAAUUUUUUAUAGUAUAAAAUAUAAGAAAAAUUAAAUAUUUGAAAGAUCCUUUAUUAAAGAUAAUGUGAAUAAGUUACUUUAGGGAUAACAGUAUAAUUUUUAUUUUAAAGCACAAAUUAUCAAUGAAGAUUAUAACCUCGAUGUUGAAUUAAUUUAAUAUAAUAGUGAAGAAGCUAUUAAUAUUUGACUGUUCGCCAAUUAAAUAAUUACA
This 471-nucleotide ribosomal RNA is filed under the name Rakaia antipodiana. RNAcentral's name for it is "partial 16S ribosomal RNA". Lineage: Eukaryota; Metazoa; Arthropoda; Arachnida; Opiliones; Pettalidae. The record is from RNAcentral.